This 535-nucleotide ribosomal RNA is filed under the name Bacillus subtilis. RNAcentral's name for it is "bacterial SSU rRNA". It matches the Rfam family "Bacterial small subunit ribosomal RNA", at positions 368 to 873 of the family's 1533-position model. Lineage: Bacteria; Bacillati; Bacillota; Bacilli; Caryophanales; Bacillaceae. The record is from RNAcentral.
CCCUCAGGAGAAGUCUGACGGAGCACGCCGCGUGAGUGAUGAAGGUUUUCGGAUCGUAAAGCUCUGUUGUUAGGGAAGAACAAGUACCGUUCGAAUAGGGCGGUACCUUGACGGUACCUAACCAGAAAGCCACGGCUAACUACGUGCCAGCAGCCGCGGUAAUACGUAGGUGGCAAGCGUUGUCCGGAAUUAUUGGGCGUAAAGGGCUCGCAGGCGGUUUCUUAAGUCUGAUGUGAAAGCCCCCGGCUCAACCGGGGAGGGUCAUUGGAAACUGGGGAACUUGAGUGCAGAAGAGGAGAGUGGAAUUCCACGUGUAGCGGUGAAAUGCGUAGAGAUGUGGAGGAACACCAGUGGCGAAGGCGACUCUCUGGUCUGUAACUGACGCUGAGGAGCGAAAGCGUGGGGAGCGAACAGGAUUAGAUACCCUGGUAGUCCACGCCGUAAACGAUGAGUGCUAAGUGUUAGGGGGUUUCCGCCCCUUAGUGCUGCAGCUAACGCAUUAAGCACUCCGCCCGGGGGGAGAGAAUCUACUAGC